This 569-nucleotide long non-coding RNA is filed under the name Fukomys damarensis (Damara mole-rat). RNAcentral describes it as "lncRNA (ENSFDAG00000031658.1)". Lineage: Eukaryota; Metazoa; Chordata; Mammalia; Rodentia; Bathyergidae. The record is from RNAcentral.
GGCCAUGUACACAACCUGCCAAGUCACAAAGCCGGAUCCAGGAAGUGGGCUGCAGACAAAGACCUUGGCCCCACCCAAUGGGAACCACCUCCCUGUGGUUAACCGGAUGUGCUGGAUCGCGAUCCCCAACAAUUUCAUUCAACAAAUGCUCAUCGUAUUGCUACCACUGCACUGAGAACGGGGGCACCAGGAAGUAGGGCACAUCACAGGGUGACAAGACGUGUCAUUUGCUUUGCCUCACCUACUUAACAAUUUUCACAAGGACCAACAAUAUGCCUGGCCCUGGCUAGUGCUGAUAAUUACAACCACGUGCAAAAUAAACGCAGCCCCUGCUGGGGGCGGGGGAGGGAGGUUAUGAACAAGCAAACAAAAAGGGAAAGUUGAAGGGCAAGGAAAGAGAAUAAAGAAAGUGUUCAUAUAAAGAAUUACAGAACCAAUCUACUUGGAUAAGAUAUCAAACUUCUGGGACCAUAAAAUGUUUCACCACCUUGGAUGUAACCUGCUAUUUUGGUAACGAGAUAUUUUCAAAUGGCAACCAGACGUAGACUUAACGCAAAUCUUAGUAUUUU